UUUGAUUGACCCCAGAAGUAACGGCUGUUCGGCUGAGCGCUGACGGCCAUAAGUUGCCAUCAGCGCAUUCGCUUC
Molecule: non-coding RNA, 75 nt
Filed under: Pectobacterium betavasculorum
Lineage: Bacteria; Pseudomonadati; Pseudomonadota; Gammaproteobacteria; Enterobacterales; Pectobacteriaceae
Source: RNAcentral